UAUAUAUAGGUACAAGAUGAGUCUCUACCUUAUAAUUAUACAAAGAAUUAAGAGGUAGGCCCAAUAACAAAAUAUACAUGCACAAAUAUAUAUUCAACAUUCAGCUCUGUUUGUACGUGCAAGUUUUAGCAGCAAAACAGAANUUUAGCGCAAGGCUUUGACAUGUCGCCGCUGCUGCAGUUUGAUUAACCUUUUUUCAAGUAGAAAUUGAUGGACUGAUGGUCUUCAGUACUUACAUGGUUACUCGCUGCCUCACGUACGGCAGCAUAGAAAAUUACU
RNAcentral lists this long non-coding RNA (279 nucleotides) under Hordeum vulgare. Its description in RNAcentral is "long non-coding RNA (HVUL_LNC019769)". The record is from RNAcentral. Lineage: Eukaryota; Viridiplantae; Streptophyta; Magnoliopsida; Poales; Poaceae.